CAGUAUGCUCAUGUCUCUUUUGUACAGGGGAGACCAGACCUGGACAUAGUACAGAGUGCCCUCAUCGAUGCUGAGUGAAGGGCAAGAAUCACCUCCCUACACUUGCUGGUGGCACUCAUAAUGCAGUCCAGGAUGACAUUGCCUUUCUUUUCUCGUAAGGACAGGGUCUGGCUCAUGUUCAACUUUAUGUCUGCCAGGAGUCCCAGGACUGGUGGCGUGGCUCUCUAUGUUAGAGACUGUUUUGAUGUUAUUGAACUUGCAACUGAGGAAGACAAUGUUGAAUCUCUGUGGGUUAGGAUCAAAGGAAAGGCUGACAAGGCAGACAUCCUGGUGGGGGUCUGUUAUAGACCGCCUAACCAGGAUGAAGAGACAGAUGAGGCGUUCUAUAAACAGCUGGCUGAAGUUGCGUGAUCGCCAGCCCUUGUCCUCAUGGGGGACUUCAACUUCCCUGAUAUAUGCUGGGAAUACAACACGGCGCAGAAGAAGCAGUCUAGAAGGUUUCUAGAGUGUAUGGAAGAGAACUUCCUACAGCAGCUGGUGAGAGAACCUACCAGGGGAGGUGCCCUGCUAGACCUGCUGUUUACAAGCAAGGAAGGUCUGGUGGGAGAUGUGGAAGUUGGGGGCUGCCUUGGACAGAGCGACCAUGAAAUGGUAGAGUUCUCAAUUCUUGGUGGAACCAGGAGAGGGGACAGCAAAACUGCUGCCUUGGACUUCCAGAGGGCAGACUUUGAAUUGUUCAGGAGGCUGGUAGGGAGGGUCCCUUGGGAUUCGGUCCUGGAGGGUAAAGGGGUCCAGGAAGGCUGGUUGCUCCUCAAGAAGGAAGUCCUGAAGGCGCAGGAACAGUCUGUCCCCCUGAGCCGCAAGAUGAGCCAGUGGGGAAGAAGACCGGUGUGGAUGAACAGGGAGCUCUUCCUGAGGCUCCAGGAGAAAAAGAGAAUCUACCUCCUGUGGAAGAAGGGACAGGCAACUCAGAAAGAGUACAAAGAGGUUGUUAGGAUGUGCAGGGAGAAAACUAGAAAGGCAAAGGCACAGCUUGAACUAAGCUUGGCUGCUGGGAUUAAAGGAAACAAGAACCGCUUCUACAAAUAUAUUAAGAGUAAGAGGGGGACCAAGGAGAAUCUCCGUUCUUUACUGGAUGCAGCUGGGACUGUGGCCACUGAGGACAAUGAAAAGGCUGAGGUUCUCAAUGCCAUUUUUACGUCUGUCUUUAAAAGGCAGAGCAGUUGUCCUCAGAGCACUGUACUCUCUGACCUGGAGGUCUCGGAUGGGGAGCAAAAUAACCCCCCCAUGAUUCAGGAGGAAACGGUCAGAGACCUACUACUCCACCUGGACUGCCACAAGUCCAUGGGGCCAGACGAGAUCCACCCGAGAGUACUGAGGGAGCUGGCGGAGGAGAUAGCCAAGCCGCUUUCCAUCAUCUAUCGGCGUUCCUGGUCAACUGGAGACGUCCCAGAAGACUGGAGACUUGCCAAUGUGACUCCCAUCUACAAGAAGGGUCGUAAGGAGGAUCCGGGGAACUACAGGCCUGUCAGCCUGACCUUGGUGCCAGGGAAGGUUAUGGAGCAGAUUGUCUUGAGGGAGAUCACGUGGCAUUUGCGGGACAACUGGGGGAUCAGGCCCAGCCAGCAUGGGUUUGUGAAGGGCAGGUCCUGCUUGACCAACCUGAUCUUCUAUGAUUGAGUGACCCACCUGGUGGAUGAGGGACAGGCUGUUGAUGUGGUCUACCUAGACUUCAGCAAAGCCUUUGACACUGUCUCCCACAGUAUUCUCCUGGAGAAACUGGCAGCCCGUGGCUUGGACCGGUACACUCUUCGCUGGGUGAGGAGCUGGCUGGAGGGCCGGGCCCAGAGAGUGGUGGUGAAUGGAGUUAAAUCCAGCUGGUGACCGGAC
This 1890-nucleotide long non-coding RNA is filed under the name Numida meleagris (helmeted guineafowl). RNAcentral's name for it is "lncRNA (ENSNMEG00000009799.1)". The record is from RNAcentral. Lineage: Eukaryota; Metazoa; Chordata; Aves; Galliformes; Numididae.